GAUCCUGGCUCAGGAUGAACGCUAGCGGCAGGCCUAAUACAUGCAAGUCGAACGGUAAGUCCCUCGGGGGAUUGAGAGUGGCGGACGGGUGCGUAACGCGUAUGCAACCAACCCCCUCACCGGGAUAGCCGGUGGAAACGCCGGAUAAGACCGGAUGCGCCCAUGGGGAGGCAUCUCCCUGCGGGCAAGGCGGCGACGCGGAGGGGGACGGGCAUGCGUGCCAUUAGCUUGUUGGCGGGCGACGGCCCACCAAGGCGACGAUGGCUAGGGGAUCUGAGAGGACGGUCCCCCACACUGGUACUGAGACACGGACCAGACUCCUGCGGGAGGCAGCAGUAGGGAGCUUUCGGCAAUGGGGGGAACCCUGACCGAGCAAUGCCGCGUGAAGUUAUGAAGGUCUUAUGGAUCGUAAGGCUCUGUUGUAGGGGAUGAAACGUCUAGGGAGGAAAUGUCCUAGACUUGACAGUACCUUACCAGAAAGCCACGGCUAACUACGUGCCAGCCGCCGC
RNAcentral lists this ribosomal RNA (509 nucleotides) under uncultured bacterium. RNAcentral's name for it is "bacterial SSU rRNA". It matches the Rfam family "Bacterial small subunit ribosomal RNA", at positions 15 to 518 of the family's 1533-position model. The record is from RNAcentral.